GAUGAACGAUGGCGGCGUGCCUAAUACAUGCAAGUCGAGCGAACAGAUGAGGAGCUUGCUCCUCUGACGUUAGCGGCGGACGGGUGAGUAACACGUGGAUAACCUACCUAUAAGACUGGGAUAACUUCGGGAAACCGGAGCUAAUACCGGAUAAUAUAUUGAACCGCAUGGUUCAAUAGUGAAAGACGGUUUUGCUGUCACUUAUAGAUGGAUCCGCGCCGCAUUAGCUAGUUGGUAAGGUAACGGCUUACCAAGGCAACGAUGCGUAGCCGACCUGAGAGGGUGAUCGGCCACACUGGAACUGAGACACGGUCCAGACUCCUACGGGAGGCAGCAGUAGGGAAUCUUCCGCAAUGGGCGAAAGCCUGACGGAGCAACGCCGCGUGAGUGAUGAAGGUCUUCGGAUCGUAAAACUCUGUUAUUAGGGAAGAACAAAUGUGUAAGUAACUAUGCACGUCUUGACGGUACCUAAUCAGAAAGCCACGGCUAACUACGUG
Molecule: ribosomal RNA, 497 nt
Filed under: uncultured bacterium
Lineage: Bacteria
Description: partial 16S ribosomal RNA
Rfam family: Bacterial small subunit ribosomal RNA
Source: RNAcentral